Molecule: ribosomal RNA, 885 nt
Filed under: Mycolicibacterium fortuitum
Lineage: Bacteria; Bacillati; Actinomycetota; Actinomycetes; Mycobacteriales; Mycobacteriaceae
Description: bacterial SSU rRNA
Rfam family: Bacterial small subunit ribosomal RNA
Source: RNAcentral
AACACGUGGGUGAUCUGCCCUGCACUUUGGGAUAAGCCUGGGAAACUGGGUCUAAUACCGAAUAGGACCGCGCUCUUCAUGGGGUGUGGUGGAAAGCUUUUGCGGUGUGGGAUGGGCCCGCGGCCUAUCAGCUUGUUGGUGGGGUAAUGGCCUACCAAGGCGACGACGGGUAGCCGGCCUGAGAGGGUGACCGGCCACACUGGGACUGAGAUACGGCCCAGACUNCUACGGGAGGCAGCAGUGGGGAAUAUUGCACAAUGGGCGCAAGCCUGAUGCAGCGACGCCGCGUGAGGGAUGACGGCCUUCGGGUUGUAAACCUCUUUCAAUAGGGACGAAGCGCAAGUGACGGUACCUAUAGAAGAAGGACCGGCCAACUACGUGCCAGCAGCCGCGNUAAUACGUAGGGUCCGAGCGUUGUNNNNNGGGAGUACGGCNGCAAGGCUAAAACUCAAAGGAAUUGACGGGGGNCCGCACAAGCGGCGGAGCAUGUGGAUUAAUUCGAUGCAACGCGAAGAACCUUACCUGGGUUUGACAUGCACAGGACGCCAGUAGAGAUAUUGGUUCCCUUGUGGCCUGUGUGCAGGUGGUGCAUGGCUGUCGUCAGCUCGUGUCGUGAGAUGUUGGGUUAAGUCCCGCAACGAGCGCAACCCUUGUCUCAUGUUGCCAGCACGUAAUGGUGGGGACUCGUGAGAGACUGCCGGGGUCAACUCGGAGGAAGGUGGGGAUGACGUCAAGUCAUCAUGCCCCUUAUGUCCAGGGCUUCACACAUGCUACAAUGGCCGGUACAAAGGGCUGCGAUGCCGUGAGGUGGAGCGAAUCCUUUCAAAGCCGGUCUCAGUUCGGAUCGGGGUCUGCAACUCGACCCCGUGAAGUCGGAGUCGCUAG